This 726-nucleotide ribosomal RNA is filed under the name Klebsiella pneumoniae. RNAcentral describes it as "partial 23S ribosomal RNA". It matches the Rfam family "Bacterial large subunit ribosomal RNA", at positions 911 to 1637 of the family's 2925-position model. Lineage: Bacteria; Pseudomonadati; Pseudomonadota; Gammaproteobacteria; Enterobacterales; Enterobacteriaceae. The record is from RNAcentral.
UGUUUCGGCUAGGGGGUCAUCCCGACUUACCAACCCGAUGCAAACUACGAAUACCGAAGAAUGUUAUCACGGGAGACACACGGCGGGUGCUAACGUCCGUCGUGAAGAGGGAAACAACCCAGACCGCCAGCUAAGGUCCCAAAGUCAUGGUUAAGUGGGAAACGAUGUGGGAAGGCACAGACAGCCAGGAUGUUGGCUUAGAAGCAGCCAUCAUUUAAAGAAAGCGUAAUAGCUCACUGGUCGAGUCGGCCUGCGCGGAAGAUGUAACGGGGCUAAACCAUGCACCGAAGCUGCGGCAGCGACACUAUGUGUUGUUGGGUAGGGGAGCGUUCUGUAAGCCUGCGAAGGUGUGCUGUGAGGCAUGCUGGAGGUAUCAGAAGUGCGAAUGCUGACAUAAGUAACGAUAAAGCGGGUGAAAAGCCCGCUCGCCGGAAGACCAAGGGUUCCUGUCCAACGUUAAUCGGGGCAGGGUGAGUCGACCCCUAAGACGAGGCCGAAAGGCGUAGUCGAUGGGAAACAGGUUAAUAUUCCUGUACUUGGUGUUACUGCGAAGGGGGGACGGAGAAGGCUAUGUUAGCCGGGCGACGGUUGUCCCGGUUUAAGCAUGUAGGCUGGUUGUCCAGGCAAAUCCGGAUAAUCAAGGCUGAGGUGUGAUGACGAGGCACUACGGUGCUGAAGUAACAAAUGCCCUGCUUCCAGGAAAAGCCUCUAAGCAUCAGGUAACAU